CCUACGGGUGGCAGCAGUAGGGAAUUUUCGACAAUGGGGGGAACCCUGACCGAGCAACGCCGCGUGAACGAAGAAGUUAUUCGUAAUGUAAAGUUCUUUUAACAGGGAAGAAAGAGAAAUUUGACGGUACCUGAAGAAUAAGCUCCGGCUAACUACGUGCCAGCAGCCGCGGUAAUGCGUAGGGAGCGAGCGUUAUCCGGAAUUAUUGGGCGUAAGGGGUGGGUAGAUGGCAUAGUAAGUCUUUGGUAAAAGUGCGGGGCUCAACCCAGUAGGGCAACAGAUACUGCAAAGCUAGAGUAUGACAGAGGCAAGUGGAACUACAUGUGUAGCGGUAAAAUGCGUAAAUAUAUGGAAGAACACCAGUGGCGAAGGCGGCUUGCUGGAUCGAUACUGACAUUGAGGCACGAAAGCGUGGGGAGCAAACAGGAUUAGAUACCCUAGUAGUC
This 446-nucleotide ribosomal RNA is filed under the name uncultured bacterium. Its description in RNAcentral is "partial 16S ribosomal RNA". It matches the Rfam family "Bacterial small subunit ribosomal RNA", at positions 338 to 795 of the family's 1533-position model. The record is from RNAcentral.